This 2167-nucleotide long non-coding RNA is filed under the name Homo sapiens (human). RNAcentral's name for it is "HSALNT0356971". Lineage: Eukaryota; Metazoa; Chordata; Mammalia; Primates; Hominidae. The record is from RNAcentral.
GAGGGGCCUGCUGAUAGGCUGCGAAGGCGAUAGGCGUCUCAGACUUGAAGACGCCUCUCCAGCAGAACUCCCUCAUUGGUCGGCAAGAGAAAACAAAGCUGGGCUCUGAUUGGUGACAGCUCUGUAGCUCCUCCUCAUACCCGCAGUCCCCGCAAGUUCCACCCCUGCCCGCCCGGUUCGCUCGCCCUUGGUUCCCACUCCCAGGUGGCUGCAGACUGGAGUGUGUUUCAUGGACGAGCAACCUCCCUGAGGAGAACCCCGGAUACGCAGGUUCAUUCGCCAGAUGCGAGUUUUCUUAAGCCGCUGCGAUUCUCUGAUUUCAGUAUGAACUUGGUGAAUAACGUAAUCUUUAACUUCCUUUGGAUUCAGACAAGUCUCCUAGGUUUAAAAAUGCUGCAUAAGAUUGAGAGGGAUAUUGUUAUGCACGAAAAAAGACAUAAGGUGUUUUCACCUUUGGCGACACUGUAGGUGACUUUUUCUUAUUACCUUUUUGUGUUCCAUAUUGAACAUGUACUACAUGAUUAGAAAAAAAAAUUCUUAAAUAGAAAAAUGAGUAGGGUGCGGAGAAUGGUAAAGACAAACUUUAAGGAAAUCCAGAGAACUGAUUCUUUCACAAUAGAAGAAAAUACAGUAAACAUGCUUAAUAUCUGAGGGCUACCCCGAAAAAACAUGAACUGGUAUCAGCGCCCUUCAGCUCUCUUAAAGAACUUUACAUAUGUGACCGAGGUGCCCCCAUACUCCUUCCUAUCAUGUAACCAACACAUAAUGUGGACAGCACUACACUGCAAACAGAAUUACAGGAAGACUCUUAUAGGAAGAAUUAGAAUCCAAAGUACACAAUCAAUAAAGCUUUAGAAAAAGGGGUAGUAAAAAGCAGAAGACAAAAAAAAAUCAGGUAAUAUAAAUUGGAAAGCUCAGCUGAUGGAGGGAAUCAUCAGAAAAAAAAUAAUGUGACAACACUUCAAGAUGUGAUAGAGACUUUGAAUGGAAAGCUGAAGGGAGAGGAAGGGGAUUGAGAUAAGGAUCAAUGACCUGCAGUUAAUAUGAGCUCUCAGAACACAUCCCCCAGAACUGGUGUCAGCCUAGAAGGCAAGAAGCAUUUCUCACCUAGGGACCACUCUCACUUAACUCUCUCUAGCUGCCUUAACAUUCUGUUUGUUCUUGUCAUUCUCGCAAAGUUCUAAAACAGGCUAUUUGAAAUUAAGCACUUCCCCCCAGCAACUCCGUGAAUUACGUAAUAGUGAAAAAUGGAGAUAGACAAAAAGCAAACCUGAGGAAGGAAAGGAAUGUUAAGAGUCACCAGUAAAAUGAGCAUUCAUUCAUUAAGCCAAUCAUCAGGAAUGGAUCUAGGAAGAACCUACUGUUUACUAGAAAUAGGUUAGAUCUGUGGAUAUAACAAUGAAUAAGACAAGACUGGUGGAUCUAUAGAGAAACUAUUACUGCACAGGUGAUGGGGAAAUCAAGAGUACUAUGGGGCCAAGGAGACUGUCCUGCAGCAAAUGAGGAAUAAGCUGAAACAUCAGUAGGAGCCAUCCCAGAGAAAAGGGACAGGGUUCUAGAUCCAGAGAACAACAGAAGAGCAUUCAGCGCCUGCAAGGGAGCAGGGGAUCUAAUGCAAAGCCAUUGCAUAACCAGUCAACUUUCCCCACAUCACAAGAUUGCCUAGCCUGGAUGGCCCCAGAAUGUUGAAACAAAUGUCUAAUUAGUAACGACAUUCUGAAUGCUUGGGAGCUGAGCAAAAUAUGAGGAGAAGCAACCUGAUUUUUGUUUCAUAUUAUCAUCUCCUUUAUUCCAGCAACAAAAGACACUGAAAAUAGUAAAUGCCCACUUUCAACCAUGACAGCCCUUUUAGGAUAGUAACGGUGAGCAGUAUUAAUCCUAUUUGACCAGAACUAGGGCAGAAUUGAAGCCCCUGGAGUAGAGAUCUGUUCUAUUAGCCCCAGCCUUUCCGCCUGCUUCUUGGGAUGGCUAUCUUUACUUUAUCAGUUGAGCCUCCAGCAUUAGCAGAUACCUAUAAGGGAAGAGAUCCAGCCCUCACUAUGGAGGGCCAGAAAGAGAAAGCACCAGACAUUAGGAAAUGUCAAAGUAUCUCAGUACAUCCAGCUGAUUAGUGACAGAUAAGUCAAAAUUUGCAGCAACUAAAUAAAUCAAAAAGUAGAUUUUAAAA